UUUGACUGGGGCGGUCUCCUCCCAAAGCGUAACGGAGGAGCACGAAGGUUAGCUAAUCCUGGUCGGACAUCAGGAGGUUAGUGCAAUGGCAUAAGCUAGCUUGACUGCGAGCGUGACGGCGCGAGCAGGUGCGAAAGCAGGUCAUAGUGAUCCGGUGGUUCUGAAUGGAAGGGCCAUCGCUCAACGGAUAAAAGGUACUCCGGGGAUAACAGGCUGAUACCGCCCAAGAGUUCAUAUCGACGGCGGUGUUUGGCACCUCGAUGUCGGCUCAUCACAUCCUGGGGCUGAAGUAGGUCCCAAGGGUAUGGCUGUUCGCCAUUUAAAGUGGUACGCGAGCUGGGUUUAGAACGUCGUGAGACAGUUCGGUCCCUAUCUGCCGUGGGCGCUGGAGAAUUGAGGGGGGCUGCUCCUAGUACGAGAGGACCGGAGUGGACGCAUCACUGGUGUU
This 448-nucleotide ribosomal RNA is filed under the name Klebsiella pneumoniae. RNAcentral's name for it is "partial 23S ribosomal RNA". It matches the Rfam family "Bacterial large subunit ribosomal RNA", at positions 2269 to 2716 of the family's 2925-position model. Lineage: Bacteria; Pseudomonadati; Pseudomonadota; Gammaproteobacteria; Enterobacterales; Enterobacteriaceae. The record is from RNAcentral.